This 114-nucleotide ribosomal RNA is filed under the name Pteropus alecto (black flying fox). The record is from RNAcentral. Lineage: Eukaryota; Metazoa; Chordata; Mammalia; Chiroptera; Pteropodidae.
UCUUAAUGUCGCCCUGAACAUGCUCAAUCUUGUCUGAUCUCGGAAGCUAAGCAGGGUCGGAUCUGGUUGGUACUUAGAUGGGAGACCACCUAGGAAUACCAGGUGCUAUAGGUA